This 1281-nucleotide ribosomal RNA is filed under the name Goliathus goliatus. RNAcentral's name for it is "16S ribosomal RNA". The stretch from base 1041 to 1199 matches the Rfam family "Bacterial large subunit ribosomal RNA", at positions 2473 to 2632 of the family's 2925-position model. Lineage: Eukaryota; Metazoa; Arthropoda; Insecta; Coleoptera; Scarabaeidae. RNAcentral also lists the same sequence under 1 other name. The record is from RNAcentral.
AGUAUAAAAUUUAUGUUAAGAUUUAUAAAAAAAAGAUUUUUAUAAUUAGUAUUUUAAAGAAUAUUAAAUUUUUGUUAUAGUAAAAGGUAUUGUGAAAGGUUAUUGAAAUAGGGAGAAUAAAUAUUAAAAGAAAGAAGAAUUAUAUUUUUGUACCUUGGGUAUCAGGGUUUAUUAAAAUAAGUUAAAAAUAUUAGUAUUCUCGAAUUAAGAAGAGUUAAUAUUAUAUAAAUUUAAUUGUAAAAUAAAUUUUUAUAAUAUAAUAUUAGAAAUGAAAUGUUAAUCGUUUUUUAAGAUAUCUAGUUUUUUAAGAAAUAAAUUUAAUUUAGUUUAUAUUUUUAAGAUGUUAAUUUUUUAGUUUAAUUAAAAUAUAAAAUAAUAUUUUUAGGGAUAAGCUUAGAAAUAGAAUAUUAAAAUUAAGGUUGUAUAUGAAUAAAAGUAGGAUUGGAAUUUUUUAUCAAUAGUAUGUUAUAGUUAAUUUUCAUAUUAAUAAGAUUUAUAUAAUAAUUUAAGUUAUUUAUUAAGAUAGCAUAUUUAUUAGGGAAUUGUGUGUGAUAAUGAUAAAAUUAGUAUAAUAUAAUGUUUAUAUAUUUAAAAUAGUAAAGUUUAAAUUAAGGAAUUCGGCAAAUAUAUUUUUCGCCUGUUUAUUAAAAACAUGUCUUUUUGAUUAUAAUUUAAAGUCUGGCCUGCCCAAUGAGGAGUUGAAUGGCCGCGGUAUUUUGACCGUGCAAAGGUAGCAUAAUCAUUAGUUUUUUAAUUGGAAGCUGGAAUGAAAGGUUGGACGAGAAAAUUACUGUCUCAGUUUAAUAUGAAUUAGAAUUUUAUUUUUAAGUAAGAAAGCUUAAAUAAUUUUAAAAGACGAGAAGACCCUAUAGAGUUUUAUAUUUUUAAAAAUAGAGAAUAUUAAGAAUUAUUAAAGUUUUUAUAUGUAAAAAUAUUUUGUUGGGGUGAUAGAAAAAUUAAUUAAACUUUUUUUUAUAUAAAACAUUGAUUUAUGAAUAUUUGAUCCAUAGUUUAUGAUUAAAAGAUUAAAUUACCUUAGGGAUAACAGCGUAAUUUUUUUUGAGAGUUCAUAUCGAAAAAAGAGUUUGCGACCUCGAUGUUGGAUUAAAAUUAACUUUUGGUGUAGGGGCUAAAAGGUUAGGUCUGUUCGACCUUUAAAAUUUUACAUGAUCUGAGUUUAGACCGGCGUGAGCCAGGUUGGUUUCUAUCUUUAAAUAGGAAAAAUAUUUUAGUACGAAAGGACCAAAUAUUUAUAAUAUUUAUUUUAAUAUGAUUAUUAUU